CUGCUACAUGUAUUUGCGAUAGAUAUAAGUAUGCUUGUAUACAUAUAUGUAUGUAUAUAUACAGUGGAUAUAAAAAGUCUACACACCCCUGUUAAAAUGCCAGGUUUUUGUGAUUUAAAAGAAUAAGACAAAGAUAAAUCAUGUUAGAACUUUUCCCACUUUUUAAUGUGACCUAUAAUGUGAACAAUUCAAUUGAAUAAAAAAAAUUAUAAAAAUAAAAACAAUUACUCGUUUAACUGGUCUGACCAACAGCUGAAUGUUGACACUAGGUGUGGCCCAUUGGUUUGAUUUAGAAAUAACGCUCAUCUUCAGGUUUAUACCAUGGCUCCAUAGCUCAGUGGUUAGAGCACUGGUCUUGUAAACCAGGGGUCGUGAGUUCAAUUCUCACUGGGGCCUUGAUCAAAUGGUCUGAUAUUUUGAUACAGGUCAAUUUCAUCCUGGCUUCUAUGUCCUAUCCUAGUGAGUUAAUCAGAUGCCUUAACCUAGCCUACUAUUGAGUCAAUCAUCGGAUGCUAUAACCGGGCCUACUACUGAUGUUAAUAAUUAAACCUUGCCAAGGGAAUUAAAGUACGAUAUUGCCAGAUAUUUGAGUCAUGUUCCUGUGGUAAUGAUGAAUGUUGUUGGGUCAUGUUUCUCUGGUAAUGAUGAAUGUUGUUGGGUCAUGUUUGUGUUGUGGCUUGAACUCUUCUGAGGUCAUAUGAGAGAACAGCAUGUAAGCUAAUUUCGUGGACUUUUAUUGGUUCUUUUCAUUUACGUAGAUUGUGUCUCCUAAAGUUUUAAAUAGAUUAAAGAGGAGCUUACUGCUAUCGACAUUACUUCUCUCUCUGUCUGUCUCUCUCUCUAAUCUUGGUGGAUUAACAGCACAGGUUAAUCGACCUCUGGUCACGUUCAGGGGACAGAGUAAAGACAAGGCGCCGUUGAAGAAAGAGAAAGACAGAUCGUUGAAGGAGAGAAGCUGAAGCUGUUUAUAACCUGCACGGCCAGGACCCUGGUGACAAUCCCCCGACGACCAGUCUACCUGAACAAGGUGCUCCGUAUUGAAGGUGCUGGGCGUCCUUCGGUAAUUACCUCAAGACCAUGUCCAAGGACCACUGUGAAUCGGUGGUGGUCAGUGUAGAGUCCCUCCUCAGCGACGCGGUCAAGAUGCAAUCUCAGUGUCGGGAGCGGAGUGACCAGCUGGCCAUCGCAGCCGCCGCCCUGAGGGAGGAGUCUGUCUUCCUGAGAGAACAGUGUCAGGCCACUCAGCUGGAUAUGGUCCGGAUGAGAAGACAGCUGGACGAACUGUUGGACACAAAGACUCAAAUGGAGGCCAGCGACAGGAUGCAACGCAAGCUCAGCAAAACUCUCUAAAGGAAAGGGCUGAGAAGAGGGGGGGGGGUGUGUGGGUGUGUGGAGAGGGUGGGUGAGAGAAGGGGAGGGGAUGGAGGGAGAGAGAGAUGUGGAUGUUGUGAGUAGGAGGUGUAGGGGAGAGGAACUGUUGAAUACCAGAUGGAGACCAAGGAUAAAAGUAUAGGGCGAACCCCAAACUCCCCAAGACACUGACAGGUGAGAGAUGGGGAAGCAGAGAGAUAUGGGGGUGAAAAGAGAGAGGGGGUAGACAGACGGAGUCGAGAGACAGAGGGGUAGAGAAACAGGAGGGAAGAGAGACAAGGUAGAGAGACAGGGGGUAGAGAGACAGGGGUUAAAGAGACAGGGGGUAGAGAGACAGGGGGUAGAGAGACAGGAGGUAGAGAGACAGGGGGUAGAGAGACAGGAGGUGGAGAGACAAGGUAGAGAGACAGGAGGUAGAGAGACAAGGUAGAGAGACAGGGGGUAGAGAGACAGGGGGUAGAGAGACAGGAGGUAGAGAGACAGGGGGUAGAGAGACAAGGUAGAGAGACAGGGGGUAGAGAGACAGGGGGUAGAGAGACAAGGUAGAGAGACAGGGGGUAGAGACAGGGGGUAGAGAGACAAGGUAGAGAGACAGGGGGUAGAGAGACAGGGGGUAGAGAGACAGGGAGUAGAGAGACAGGAGGUAGAGAGACAGGGGGUAGAGAGACAAGGUAGAGAAACAGGGGGUAGAGAGACAGGGGGUAGAGAGACAAGGGGUAGAGAGACAGGGGGUAGAGAGACAGGGGGUAGAGAGACAAGGUAGAGAGACAGGGGGUAGAGAGACAGGGGGUAGAGAGACAAGGGGUAGAGAGACAAGGUAGAGAGACGGGGUAGAGAGACAGGGGGUAGAGAGACAAGGUAGAGAGACGGGGUAGAGAGACAGGGGGUAGAGAGACCAGCCUUUUAGGGUAGAGAGGCUGUAAAAGAGAAGGAAGGGCAGGAACCAAAGCAGGUCUGGACACAGAAGAGUAAAUGUGUAGAACAGAAACAGUGUUUGGUUUCUAUACUUUU
Esox lucius (northern pike) is the source of this 2382-nucleotide long non-coding RNA. NCBI's taxonomy places the organism in Eukaryota, Metazoa, Chordata, Actinopteri, Esociformes, Esocidae. The record is from Ensembl.